Molecule: ribosomal RNA, 405 nt
Filed under: uncultured bacterium
Lineage: Bacteria
Description: bacterial SSU rRNA
Rfam family: Bacterial small subunit ribosomal RNA
Source: RNAcentral
GAGGGGCAGCGAGUAGAUUGCUUGCAAUCUACGUCGGCGACCGGCGCACGGGUGCGUAACGCGUAUGCAACCUACCCAUUACAGGGGGAUAACACUGAGAAAUCGGUACUAAUACCCCAUAACAUCCAGGGAGGCAUCUUCUUGGGUUGAAAACUCCGGUGGUAAUGGAUGGGCAUGCGUUGUAUUAGUUAGUUGGUGGGGUAACGGCUCACCAAGACAACGAUACAUAGGGGGACUGAGAGGUUAACCCCCCACAUUGGUACUGAGACACGGACCAAACUCCUACGGGAGGCAGCAGUGAGGAAUAUUGGUCAAUGGACGCAAGUCUGAACCAGCCAUGCCGCGUGCAGGAAGACGGCUCUAUGACUUGUAAACUGCUUUUGUACGAGGGUAAACGCAGAUCAC